This 253-nucleotide ribosomal RNA is filed under the name uncultured bacterium. RNAcentral describes it as "partial 16S ribosomal RNA". It matches the Rfam family "Bacterial small subunit ribosomal RNA", at positions 524 to 776 of the family's 1533-position model. The record is from RNAcentral.
UACAGAGGUCUCGAGCGUUGUUCGGAUUCAUUGGGCGUAAAGGGCGCGUAGGCGGCGGGGUAAGUCUGGUGUGAAAUCUCGGAGCUCAACUCCGAAAUUGCACUGGAUACUGCUCUGCUAGAGGGCUGGAGAGGAGAUCGGAAUUCACGGUGUAGCAGUGAAAUGCGCAGAUAUCGGGAGGAACACCGGUGGCGAAGGCGGUUCUCUGGGCCUUACCUGACGCUGAGGAGCGAAAGCGUGGGGAGCAAACAGG